AUUGAACGCUGGCGGCAGGCCUAACACAUGCAAGUCGAGCGGAUGCAGGGAGCUUGCUCCUGGAUUCAGCGGCGGACGGGUGAGUAAUGCCUAGGAAUCUGCCUGGUAGUGGGGGAUAACGUCCGGAAACGGGCGCUAAUACCGCAUACGUCCUGAGGGAGAAAGUGGGGGAGCUUCGGACCUCACGCUAUCAGGUGAUCCUAGGUCGGAUUAGCUAGUUGGUGGGGUAAAGGCCUACCAAGGCGACGAUCCGUAACUGGUCUGAGAGGAUGAUCAGUCACACUGGAACUGAGACACGGUCCAGACUCCUACGGGAGGCAGCAGUGGGGAAUAUUGGACAAUGGGCGAAAGCCUGAUCCAGCAAUGCCGCGUGUGUGAAGAAGGUCUUCGGAUUGUAAAGCACUUUUAGUUGGGAGGAAGGGCAGUAAGUUAAUACCUGGCUGUUUUGACGGUACCAACAGAAUAAGCACCGGCUAACUACGUG
This 484-nucleotide ribosomal RNA is filed under the name uncultured bacterium. RNAcentral describes it as "partial 16S ribosomal RNA". It matches the Rfam family "Bacterial small subunit ribosomal RNA", at positions 30 to 507 of the family's 1533-position model. The record is from RNAcentral.